This 352-nucleotide long non-coding RNA is filed under the name Elaeis guineensis (African oil palm). Its description in RNAcentral is "long non-coding RNA (EGUI_LNC008267)". Lineage: Eukaryota; Viridiplantae; Streptophyta; Magnoliopsida; Arecales; Arecaceae. The record is from RNAcentral.
AGGAUCUAAGCUUCCAAUGAAAACAUCAAGGAACAUAUUCGAUUCAAAAUAAACUAGGUUUCAUGAAGCUGGUCCACCCAAAAAAAAAAUUCCUAACCACCAUUAUAAAGAACCAUAAAGGCGAGAAUUAAAUAAACGCACAGAUACGAAGAAAAUCCAAAAAAUGAGGUAGAUCGAGAGCGAGAGAAAUACCAGAGACAAACUCACUGGUGGUGGCAUUGGUGCUGAGCUCGGAGCUCCGAUCACGAUCACGAUCGUCGACCGGUUGCAGAUGGCCGGAGAUGGCUUUCACAUGGCGUUGAGCAGCAAAGGCAUCCAUGGUGUUCCUUUCUUCCCUGUUAUGCCUCGCCCA